This is a non-coding RNA of Nicotiana tabacum (common tobacco), 1397 nucleotides long. The record is from RefSeq and is a predicted model, not a curated record. NCBI's taxonomy places the organism in Eukaryota, Viridiplantae, Streptophyta, Magnoliopsida, Solanales, Solanaceae.
CUAAGAAUCUGGCAGCACUAAAUGGAGGAACUGUUGACGAUGACAUUCCUCAAGAUAUUCCAGAAGUUGAAAUCAUGCGUGAUGCUGUCUAUGAUCAUGGUUCUGAGGAUGUUCCCUUAUGGUCAGAUCAAUGGAAUGAUGUAAUGGAACCAGAUAAAGUUCUGGAGGAACAGAUCAUGAAAGACAAGGAAAGUGCAAGCCUAGUCGUGGAAGAGAUGGUCGAACGAGACUAACCACCUUCUGCCACUUCAGCAGAGGUUCAAGAAUUCACUAAUCCACAGAUAUCUUUUGGGCAUCAGUCACCUGAUUUAGUACUUCAAUCAACACCACCUCCUGAGGAGCCAAAAGCAAGGAGAAGAAAGCGAAUGCUACUCAUUGAUGAGGAUGAUAUAGUAUUGUCGAAUGAUAAAAUUGGAAGGCUACUAAAUGAUACCAGUGCAUUGAAACGCCGGAGAAAGAAUGCUCCGUUGUUUUCUUUGGACAUAUGGAAACUAAACAAGAGACAUACAAAAGAUGGAAUGUUAUUUGAGCCUUUAAUAACCGGAGUACAUAAUGAUAUCUGCAACAUCUACAAGGAAGACUUCAUUUCAGCAAAAAUCAAGACCGCUUCCUCAUUAGAGGAUCAUGUAGAACCCAGUGGCAACCAUUCCCCUCUACCUGGGAAUGAUCUUGGGAUUGAAACAGAAAGACUACGUGAUAAUCAAGAAUUUGCAUGCACCAAUUUGUUGUCUGAAAUUUUUCCUUCACCGAAUAAAUUCAUUUCCUCUCCACAAAUGCCACGCCGGACCCAGCAGCAUCUACUGGGCGUGUUGGUUCUGAUAUGGAGACCCCAUCAACAUGGUACGGAGACGGACUAGAUGUGGAGAAUACCAUUCUGUCUGAUAUUCCUGAGUUUGAUAAUUCUGCUGGGGAUUUGAGUUUUCUGGACCAAGAUGACAGGACUCCCGUUGGAACUCCUGAAGUUGGUUAUUUAUCAAGUAAUGAAGGGGGAACACCAGAGUUUGACACAUUAUCUGCUAGAACAAGGUAACACAUGGUGUUGGAGAAUUGUGGACUUGUCGAUGCAAAUCAAAAUGAACCUUAUGGUGAUAUAACUUUGAAAGUUACUUUCAAACUGACGGAACAAUUUUCAAGCUGAGUUUAUUGUGUCUAUAUAUAGAGACAUACAGCAUUCAGUAACUAUAUGAAGAUGGAUAACCGUGGCAGCCAUUUUGUCAAAAUUAUUUGGAGUAUCAAUGGCUGAUUUUAAAUUAUUAUUUUCACAGUUUCUAUAUUAGAUUCCAUUGUAUAUUAUCUGCUAGUAACAGGUUAGACUUAGCCCAUAUAAAUGUUUUUUUGAAAUUAUAUGGAAUAUUUUAACACACAAAUGUAAAUAGUUAUGGUAAUAAGUUUCAGGU